Molecule: ribosomal RNA, 386 nt
Filed under: uncultured Nitrospina sp.
Lineage: Bacteria; Pseudomonadati; Nitrospinota; Nitrospinia; Nitrospinales; Nitrospinaceae
Description: bacterial SSU rRNA
Rfam family: Bacterial small subunit ribosomal RNA
Source: RNAcentral
ACGAACGCUGGCGGCAUGCUUAACACAUGCAAGUCGAACGAGAAAGCUUCUUCGGAAGUGAUUAAAGUGGCGCAAGGGUGAGUAUCACGUGAAUAAUCUGCCCUCGAGAUCGGGAUAACAUGGUGAAAACUAUGCUAAUACCGGAUAAGACCACAUUUCAUAAGAAAUGCGGUAAAAGGAGUCUCAAUCUUCACUCGAGGAUGAGUUCGCGCAACAUUAGCUUGUUGGUGAGAUAAAAGCUCACCAAGGCUACGAUGUUUAGCCGGCCUGAGAGGGUGAACGGCCACACUGGAACUGAGACACGGUCCAGACUCCUACGGGAGGCAGCAGUGGGGAAUAUUGCGCAAUGGGCGAAAGCCUGACGCAGCAACGCCGUGUGAGUGAAG